This is a non-coding RNA of Monodelphis domestica (gray short-tailed opossum), 3462 nucleotides long. Lineage: Eukaryota; Metazoa; Chordata; Mammalia; Didelphimorphia; Didelphidae. The record is from RefSeq and is a predicted model, not a curated record.
CUGGGGCUGCAGCGAGGGCUGAGCUGGGAUCAUUUCAAACACCCGUAGAGGGUCCAGUCCGCGUGGUCUGGUGACCGUUGGGGAGCCCGUGGUAGGAAUGAAGGAGCCGCCCCAACGCGAGGACAGAAGCCGGGAGAGCAGAUAUUCCAUAUCUGGAGAAUUUGCAAAAGUUCAACAGAUUAAUUGAUGGACCAAUCAGUGUGCCAAAUGUGGAUGAAUGCAAGGAAUGCACUGGGGUCCUGAGAAAGCUGAAAUUACUUUCAGGCUUAAACUUACACUUAGCUAAACAAAAGACUUUAGAAGGACACAAUUCACCAGAUAUAAUCUGAUCAAGGCUGUGUACAGAAAGACUAUCUUCUUAUUUCUGGUGUGUAAAGUGUGUCUUUUUACUCCUUCAAAUAUUUGUUAUAUUAAAGUUACCAAGUAUUUCCCUUCCUUCCCCUCCCUGAAUUAGAGAGCAUCAUUUGACUAUUUGUAUGUGAAUCUAUAUUGUGAAGAUUGGAUUUAGCUAUCUCCUGAUUGUAACAAUGAAGAUAUUUAAUUUAACAAAAUGAGGAAUGUCUUGUGAACUUUACAUUACUCCACCCUAUUUAGUCUAACAAAAUCAGUACUGUCUACACCCAUACUUAAGGAUUAAGUAUUUAGGAGGAUGGCCUUUGAUAGACAUGUACUAGCUUGACAAAUCAGAAACAUUUGACAGACCCCUGGGCUGUCCCAAGUCAAGCUUAAGCUACCAUUGGUAAUGAUGAGACGCAGGAAAGUGAUGUAAAACCAUCUAUAUAUUUUGCGUCACUUCCUCUCUUCAUCUCUUUCCCCAGAGAGGUGGCCCUGGCUGGCAGCGUGCUAAGCGUUCCAACACCUUGGCAUGGUGGCAGCUAUUGUCCGGAUUGGCGGUGAUUCUAUUCUGGGAGAAGCUGACUAGCUAGUUCAGGUUCAGGCAUCUUAGCUGAGCCCUCUUGGAGUUUAGGCUGAUUCCUUUCUCCUUUACCUUCCAACACUAUCCUCUUAAAAGCCACUAAUUUGAACUCCCCCGGCACAGGCCAGGCGGGAAAAAUCCUACACCUUUUCCCUCUCCCUUCUCCUUAAUUUCUUUCCUCUAUAUUAAUUAAAAUCACCAUAAAUUUCAAGCUGACUUGGGUAUUAUUUGGGAUAUCCCUUGGCAACCAAAAUUAAUUUAAUUUAGGUCACAACCCUAAAAUUAUCCUUUCAAUAUAUGUGUACAAACACAUACAGAAACUCUUGCUUGUUUCUAUUUCUCAGUUCUCUGUAGGUAGACACACAAAUUGUUCUUCAAACAAUAUUUCUGUUGUGUAUAAAGUUCUCUUGGUUCUACUCAUCUCACUCUUCAUAAGUCUUAAAUAGGUCUUUCUUUCUAGUUAAAAAAAAUUAACUUGCUUAUCAUUUCUUGUUGUCCAGUAGUGUUCCAUCACAACCAUGCUGCAACUUGUUUUGCCAUUCCUCAACUGAUGGGCAUCCCCUUCAUUUCCAGUUUUUUGAAAGCUGCUUUAAACAUUUUAGGAUAUAUAGAUUCUUUUCCUUUUUCCUUGAUCACCUUAGGAAACAAACUUAAUAAUAAUGAUUUUGCAGUCAAGUGGUAUAAACAGUUUUAUGAGUCUUUGAGCACAAUUCCAGAUUGCUCUCCAAAAUGGAUGGAUCAGUUCACAGUUCCACCAACAGUGUAUUAGUGUCCCCCAUUUUUCCACAUCCUCUCCAAUAUUUGUCAUUUCCUCCUUUUAUCAUUUUAGUCUUGAUGUAGCUCUAGAGAGUAUCUUUUCUGGCUGCCACAUCACAGUGCUGAUUCAUACUUAUUUUGCAAUCCACUAAAACCUCCAGAUCUUUUAGAGAUACACUGUUGUAUAACCAUGCUUGGAUAAGCUAAAUAGCAAAGUGGAUGGAAUGCCUGGUCCAGAGUGAGGAAGAUUCAUCUUCUUGAAUUCAAAUCUGGCCUCAGAAAUGAGCUGUGUGACCCUGAAGAAGUCACUUAGCUCUGGUUACCUCAGUUUCCUUACAUUUACAAUGAGUUAGAGAAAGAAAGAAACCACCAUUAUUUCUUCCAAGAAAACCCCAAAUGGGGGUACAAAGAGUCAGACACAACAGAACGAUUACUGAAAAACAAACUAUGCCCUCCUUGUCCUAUUCUUCUAAAGACUUUUAACUUAAGUAAAAAAAAAAACAAACAACUAUAUGUAUUCCUUUUAUAUUUCAUUUUGAGUCACUUUUAUCUUCUAGACAGUCGAUAUCUUUUUAGAUCAUGGCUGUGUUUUCCAUUGUCUUGACUCUCCUUCCCAACCAACAUUGUGCCAUUUGUAAAUUUGAUAAGCCUGCCAUUUUUGCAUUUAUGACUAUUUUUGAGUCCAACCAUGUAAUUCAUUCCAAUUCUUUCUAACUGAAUCAUUGUCUAGGAAAUUGGAGCAUUUUCUUCAUCUUUUCAGUGGAAAUAGUAUGAGAUGCCUCUUCAAAUAUGUUUCUGAAACCCAGAUAAACUAUGCUCAGCAUCUCCCUGACCUCAGUUUAGUAACCUUCUCAAAAGGGGAAAUAGUUCAGCUGUCCUGACCUUUUGUUGAUUUGGCACUACAGAGGCUCUUUGGAACCAAUGUUUCUGUUUCUGGAUGACCACUUACCGUCUCUCUGAUGCUCAGCCUUGGAUUUCGCCAGCUUUAACUUGAUCUUGCUGGUAUCUAGUGUUCAGCCUCCUUUCUUUUUUGAAAUUGGGACAGUAUUAUUCCGUCUCCAGUGCGGUGGUGCAUUUUUCACUCAUUUCCUACAUCUCUGGUCACUCAGGAAUCACAUCUGCCAGGUGUUUUCAGGACAUGAUUCAGAAACUAGUCUCAGCUAAGUGACUUAACUUCAUCAAGGGUAACUGGCUGAAUGAAGCAUUGCAAAUAUAUUUAUGAAGGAGUUAUUAUAUAUCAAAUAUUCUGUUAGAUAGACAUGAAACAGCAGUCCCUUCUAAAGACCUUGUAUUCUAAUAACGCAGAGGGGUUUUUAAGUUCACAGAUAUCUUUUCUUUAAAUUAAAUGAAAUCUUUUUUUCAAAUUUUAAUUAUAUGCUUAGUAACCACCACCACCAAAAAAGAAAAUUGUAUUGGCAGAUGCAAAAAAAGAUGUACAAAACAAUUUGUUUAAAAUAUGUAAGUUAUACAUGUAUAGUAAUAUAUAUAUAUAUGUGUGUGUGUCCUCUGCUUUUGAGUUCUCUUUGCAUUUGUUUUACUUUGAUGCUUUCAUCUCUUGAUUUUUGUGGCUAUUCUUUUUUUAAUGUAAUCCUAGCAUGUAUUAUUCUUUUUUGUCUCUUCAUAUAGUUCUCAUUUUCCUUUAUAUUUCCAACAUUUGUCAUUUCCAAUAAUAAUACGAUCCAUUACGUUCACAUAUUAUCUAUUCAGCCAUUUCUCCAAUCCCUGCAAUCAUAUUCCUUCCAGUUAUUUUGUCAUUAAAAAUAAAGCUUUCAAGAAUAUUCCCCAAUUGA